This 291-nucleotide long non-coding RNA is filed under the name Nicotiana benthamiana. Its description in RNAcentral is "long non-coding RNA (NBEN_LNC042411)". Lineage: Eukaryota; Viridiplantae; Streptophyta; Magnoliopsida; Solanales; Solanaceae. The record is from RNAcentral.
AACAAUUGAAAACAAUAGCUAAAAUGAAAGAAGACUGCUAGAAGAAUUUCAGAAGUAGAAAUAACAACAGUAAUCAACAACAGCUUCAACAACCAAGUGAAUCCCAGGGUUUCAAAGCCAAACUAACCACUUGAAAACCAGAAAUCCCAAGUAAAUAACCCCAGAAAGCUCUCUAUUUCAUUCCAUUUUCCAACUUAUGAACCAAAAGAGGAAAAGUUUUUGGAAAUCUUUCGAAGGCUUUCUAAAAUCUGGAAAGAGAACCUCUUUUGCAGAGAAUAAUGCCAAUGAUUG